Molecule: transfer RNA, 65 nt
Filed under: Dipodomys ordii (Ord's kangaroo rat)
Lineage: Eukaryota; Metazoa; Chordata; Mammalia; Rodentia; Heteromyidae
Rfam family: tRNA
About the family: Transfer RNA (tRNA) molecules are approximately 80 nucleotides in length. Their secondary structure includes four short double-helical elements and three loops (D, anti-codon, and T loops).
Source: Rfam by way of RNAcentral
GGUGGCUCAGCAGUAGAGUGCAUGCCUUGCAAGCAUGAGGCCCUGGGUUCGAUUCCUUAGCACCA